ACGGAAGGCAGCAGUGAGGAAUAUUGGUCGAUGGACGGAAGACUGAACCAGCCAAGUCGCGUGAAGGAUGAAGGUAUUAUGUAUUGUAAACUUCUUUAGACGUAGAGAAAUAAGCGGGACGAGUCCCGCGAUGCUAGUAUACGUAGAAUAAGGAUCGGCUAACUCCGUGCCAGCAGCCGCGGUAAUACGGAGGAUCCGAGCGUUAUCCGGAUUUAUUGGGUUUAAAGGGUGCGCAGGCGGUCUUUUAAGUCAGUGGUUAAAUCGUGGAGCUCAACUCCAUCCCGACAUUGAUACUGGAGGACUUGAUUGCGGUCGAGGUUGGCGGAAUUCGCCGUGUAGCGGUGAAAUGCAUAGAUAUGGCGAAGAACUCCGAUUGCGUAGGCAGCUGACCAGACCGUAAAUGACGCUCAUGCACGAAAGUGCGGGGAUCGAACAGGAUUAGAUACCCUGGUA
RNAcentral lists this ribosomal RNA (453 nucleotides) under uncultured Porphyromonadaceae bacterium. RNAcentral's name for it is "partial 16S ribosomal RNA". It matches the Rfam family "Bacterial small subunit ribosomal RNA", at positions 341 to 792 of the family's 1533-position model. The record is from RNAcentral. Lineage: Bacteria; Pseudomonadati; Bacteroidota; Bacteroidia; Bacteroidales; Porphyromonadaceae.